CAGGAGUCCCCGGAAACCUCUCCUUGGGAUUACUAUUUGGUCUCACCUUUGCUUUUGCUGAAGCAGUCGGUGUCAUGUAAUUCGGGACAGAAAACGGGGGGCAGCUCAUCAGGCUGUCAUCAUCUUUCAGUGGUACGUCAAAUGUUGAAUCUGCUGCACUAUUUCUUGGUCUUGAAUAUUUCAUCAAAUUUGAGUUGCUUGUUGGUGGUGUUCUACUAGGAGUAAACAUUUGUCUUGUUCGCAAAGGUACAGUUGAUUUUGGUGUGGGAGUUUCAAAAUUGUCAUACCCCGAAUUAUGUUGCCUGUAGUUGCUUGAUUGAGGUCGAGGGCUGGGCUUGUUCUCUGGAGUUGACCUUAAAGGUGUCAGAAGAAAAUUUUUCAUGGGUUGGGUUUCUGAGGGAUUCGCGGAAGGGAGCUGACGUUCCAUCCAGGUCCACCACCAAGGAAAUCCACCUGAUCUGAAAUCCAUUAGAGGUGUUUGACCGGAUUUCUGAUUUCCCUUCAUCAACUGAUGGCAGAGAGAUCAAAUGUUAGAAGGCGAACAAGAUUCAAAUGUUACAAGAACAGAAUAUUGAAAGAGAUGAGAUACUUGUUUUCUCCCCUUUUAAAAACCUAUAGCGCACUUAAAGCCCAAUUCCACCAUGAAGUGAAUGUAAAGUUCAACUGGACUAGUGUAGCUUCUAUGUUAUAAUGUAAUUAGCGAUGACUGGCCAAAACAAGGUGUACAGUACCUGGUGGGAAUAUGCAUACGCUAUGGCUCUUUCCCUCUUGACAAUUGCCUCGACCUUUUUCUGCAUUCUUGCCUCAACUUCCUNNNNNNNNNNNNNNNNNNNNNNNNNNNNNNNNNNNNNNNNNNNNNNNNNNNNNNNNNNNNNNNNNNNNNNNNNNNNNNNNNNNNNNNNNNNNNNNNNNNNUAUAUAUAUAUAUAUAUAUGUAUAUGUGAGCGGUUCGCAUGUGAACACUGCAGAUAAAAUCGUCGCUAAACUCGUCGUUAUAAGAUCUGAACCGUUUUGAUAGCCCAUAACUGUCGUUAUAGUCCGGUUCAGACCCUAUGCCCCUAUGACGACGGGUUUAUCGACGAUUUUAUCCGUCGCUAAAGAUGGUCCCGCAUGCAAAUCACCUACAUAGAAAGCGGACUAUAUAUAUAUAUGUAUAUAUAUAUGAGAUGUUUGCACCAAUUUAUUGUAUGGCUUUCAAGACUAGAGAAAAGUAUGAUGUCAUAUAUAUUUGGAAUUUUUGGAUAUUUUACAUUAACUGAAAAUUUAGCUUCUCUUUUAUUAAAAAAAAGAAGAUAAAUUCAUGACAUUUUUGUAAUGUGAAUUUUAACUAGACUACAUUGAUGAGUUGUAUUCAUGAGUAAUUUUAAUUAAAAUAUAGAGCAAUGGUAGAUAAUUAGACAAAAAUCGUUUUAGCUAGUUUAUCUGUAAAUAUUUUGUUUACGACCAUAUGUGGUGUAUGUAUAUCCUAGUGGUAAAGAGUUCUUUUUUUACUAUGUAAGUGUUAAGAAAGUAUAAUGAAUACAGAAAAAUAAGACAAAAGAUUGAUACGGGUAGUUCCUGUCUUUAAGGUGUUUAUUGCCUCUUACCAUUAAAGUUUGCUAAAGGCUACUAACAAUAUACCUCCAGGAUUAAUGUCACAACAUAUCUUUGUUCUGAGUUAUAGCAAUUCACUCUGAACCUCAAAUAUAUGCUGCUGUGUAAAGAUGAUAGAUAGAAGAAGAUGAAGAUUAUUCAGUUUCGUAACUGAAAUGUGAGUUAUGAAUCAUUUGCAAUAUAAAGAUAUAAUAAUCACAUUAGUUUGGCAUCCCAUAAUGAUUAAACAAAAACUAUUUAAUCAUUAAUGAAGUUAAUUAAUCUGGUUCAAUGCAAAAAAGAGGCUCUUGACUCCUAGCAACAAUGCGUACGUGCACCUAAAGCGCCAAUGCAACUUUGCGAACCCGCACCACGGCCCCUGGGUCACGGGUUGCACCACGUCAUUGUGACCAACUCUAAGCCUUUCCUUUAGUACCACUAGUAAAUUAAACUAUUUCACAUAUACUUAUAAAGUAUUAAAUAGUUUUCUUAAACAACAAUGAACAUUUUCAUGUACUGCACUUUGGAUACAAUUAAAACAUAAUAUAUAAUUCCUACUUGAAUUAUAUAUUACUCUCUUUUAAUCUCCUUGUAAUAAACUAUCAAAUGCACUUUUAAUUUUAUAUAAAUCAAUCAAUUAAUGGGUCUAAAUUAAUCCCCAAAUUGAUCAAAACCCAUAAAAGAAAAGGUGCAAUUAACAGUAAGUUUACAGAUUUUAGCAGAAGUUAGAACAGAAGAAGAUCAUGGAAAGUAAGCAAGUUUCUCUUAAGUUCCCCUUCUCAAGUUCGCUACUAGCUAAAUAAAUGAUACCAUGCAUCUCAAGCUGUCAAGCAUACAAGCUCUUUAUGUAGAAAGACGAGUGUUUUAUGGAAGAUGAAUGCCUUAGCAUCACAUAGGUUUAGUGUAAAGCUAAGUUACAUGGACUCCUCGUAUGGAGUGUUUAAUCGGACAUUAAUUGGUACUUAGCAAAGUCCGACACAGAUAUUCUUCUAAAUUUUUACUUUAAAAUGAAAUGUUCAACACUCGUAUAAGUGUCGAACACAAAUACUCUUGAACAAAGGGAAGAAAACAUGUAAUAUAAUUAAGUGUAUGCAGAAUAGGCAUGCAUGCUUACCAGUUGCUACUGUCUAGCCAUCAAUUUCAUCCAAGAGAAGCAAUAAGCAAACUUUCAGCACCCAAAUCAUCAUCUCCUACUACUCUUUUUUUUUUUGUUAUUAUACAUCAGUUUUCUGUAACCAAUACAUCACCUUACACUCGGUGUUAAAAAAAAAGAAAAAAAGAAACAGAAAAACAUAACCAAAGAUUUGAGUCAAGGAACAAAAAAGGGUUAAGAAAUGGUAAUUUUGAUAGAACUAAAAUAAAAAAAAAUCAAUCACACAAAUCGGUUAAAUGGCUUCCUCCCAAAUACAGCAGGCAUGGAUAAAGUUGAAUCGACACUUUGAUCCCCUAUAGAAUGCAGAGGCUGGUGUUUUUCCAACACCCUUGGAGAAGUAGAAUCUUUGGUAGACCCUUUGUUCCACUUAAAUGGCCCGAUGCUUGGAGUCAUAGGAAAUGAAAACCUCCUCUUUGAUGUCUCACUGCCAGGAGUCCCCGGAAACCUCUCCUUGGGAUUACUAUUUGGUCUCACCUUUGCUUUUGCUGAAGCAGUCGGUGUCAUGUAAUUCGGGACAGAAAACGGGGGGCAGCUCAUCAGGCUGUCAUCAUCUUUCAGUGGUACGUCAAAUGUUGAAUCUGCUGCACUAUUUCUUGGUCUUGAAUAUUUCAUCAAAUUUGAGUUGCUUGUUGGUGGUGUUCUACUAGGAGUAAACAUUUGUCUUGUUCGCAAAGGUACAGUUGAUUUUGGUGUGGGAGUUUCAAAAUUGUCAUACCCCGAAUUAUGUUGCCUGUAGUUGCUUGAUUGAGGUCGAGGGCUGGGCUUGUUCUCUGGAGUUGACCUUAAAGGUGUCAGAAGAAAAUUUUUCAUGGGUUGGGUUUCUGAGGGAUUCGCGGAAGGGAGCUGACGUUCCAUCCAGGUCCACCACCAAGGAAAUCCACCUGAUCUGAAAUCCAUUAGAGGUGUUUGACCGGAAUUCUGAUUUCCCUUCAUCAACUGAUGGCAGAGAGAUCAAAUGUUAGAAGGCGAACAAGAU
RNAcentral lists this long non-coding RNA (3700 nucleotides) under Panax ginseng (ginseng). RNAcentral describes it as "long non-coding RNA (PGIN_LNC009938)". The record is from RNAcentral. Lineage: Eukaryota; Viridiplantae; Streptophyta; Magnoliopsida; Apiales; Araliaceae.